This 748-nucleotide ribosomal RNA is filed under the name Nostoc sp. 9ma2. Its description in RNAcentral is "partial 16S ribosomal RNA". It matches the Rfam family "Bacterial small subunit ribosomal RNA", at positions 674 to 1408 of the family's 1533-position model. The record is from RNAcentral. Lineage: Bacteria; Bacillati; Cyanobacteriota; Cyanophyceae; Nostocales; Nostocaceae.
GUAAGCGGUGAAAUGUGUUAGAUGAUUAGGAAGGAACAUCCCGCUCGGCGAAGAGCGACUCUACUAGUCCCGUAUCUGACACUGAGGUGACGAAAGCAUAGGGGACGCGAACUGCGAUUAGAUACCCCAGUAGUCCUACCCGUAAACGAUGUAUACUAGGCGCUGCGAGUAUCGACCCUUGCAGUGCCGGAGACCACGCGAUAAGUAUCCCGCCUGGGGAGUACUCUCGCAAGUGUGAAACUCAAAAGGAAUUGACGGGGGCCCGCACAAGCGCUGGAGUAUGUGUUUUAUUUUGAUGCAACGCGAAGAACCUUACCAAGGCUUGACAUGUCGCGAACCUCUCUGAAAGGUAGUGGUUCCUUCGGGAGAGCCAACACACAUGGUGCACAGGGGUGUUCAGCUCUUGUUUUGAGAUGUUUUGGUAAAAAUCUCACAAAGAGCAACCCUCCUUUUUUUUUGCCCCCCUUUUCUUGGGCACUCUUUAGAGAAUGCCGGUGUCUAACCGCAGGGAGAGGGGGGGGAGGUCUCAAGAGCUUGCCCCCCACAUAUUGGGGUGCACACAUACUUCACAGAUGCGGUCAGAGGGCAGCGAGCCGGCAAGGGCACGCAAUUCCUUCCAAAAGGAGUUUCAUUUAGGUUGAAGCUCUCAACUACUAGUGCAGAAGGAGGAAUAGCUAGUAGUAGCAGGUCAGCCUAAUGCCGGGAAAUAGUUUCCCGGCCUUGUACAACACCCCCGUCCCCCCCUGGA